AUGGAUCUCAAUAUUGUACUGCGGCUUUUAUACAACCCUGUCUCGUACAGUAUACAUUAUUAAUAAGUGACAUUCAAACUCAAUCGCUUGUAUUUCCUGGCGUUGAGACCGUCUGUCUCAGUGUCUCAGAUGUGCAGCAAGAGCCAGGUCUUGUGCAGCAGAUCUCUCCCAUUCUCCACACGGCAUCGAAGUGACUUUUAUAGACAAUAUUUUUACUGUAUCGGUAUUUCAAUAUACUGUCCGGUAUGGAUUGUUUUUUUUUUUUUCGCCUGACCUUGUUUUUGUCCCUCUAUCUGAGCAAACGUCGUUUGUUAUUGAGGAUGCCCCAGAUCGUGUUGUUCGGAUCACGUUGUUGCUGUAACUUCCACUCAGCUGCCCUGCCCCGCCCCCGCCGCGGAGGACAGAAUGUUCUUUUCCGUGAACUGCGAGUGAACUUGAGCUCAGAGGGAACAUGGCACAGCACCAUAGCGUGCGUUACCGUCAAACUCCAAAGUCUUUCACUAUUACACGAUAGCUCGAAGCAUACCUCGAAGCACAGUGAAGCCCAUCAUUAAAAAGGUGAGAAAUUAUGGAACAACUUUGAAUCUGCCCAGAACUGGCCGUCCUCCAAAAUUGAGUGUCCAGACAAGAAGAGCCGUAAUAAAGGAGGCCACCAUGAGGCCUACGGCAACUCUAAAGGAGUUAGAGGUGAGUGUACUCUGUGUGCUCUGGGUGAUGGUGUAGAGGCUGCAGGCUGGGUGUGUGCUCCUGGAGUGAGGUGCUCUGUGUGCUCUGGGUGAAGGUGUAGAGGCUGCAGGCUGGGUGUGUGCUC
RNAcentral lists this long non-coding RNA (811 nucleotides) under Lepisosteus oculatus (spotted gar). RNAcentral's name for it is "lncRNA (ENSLOCG00000021527.1)". The record is from RNAcentral. Lineage: Eukaryota; Metazoa; Chordata; Actinopteri; Semionotiformes; Lepisosteidae.